This 78-nucleotide transfer RNA is filed under the name Bacteroidales bacterium. RNAcentral describes it as "tRNA-Asp". It matches the Rfam family "tRNA". Rfam says of the family: Transfer RNA (tRNA) molecules are approximately 80 nucleotides in length. Their secondary structure includes four short double-helical elements and three loops (D, anti-codon, and T loops). The record is from RNAcentral. Lineage: Bacteria; Pseudomonadati; Bacteroidota; Bacteroidia; Bacteroidales.
GGGUCUGGUAGUUCAGUUGGUUAGAAUGCCGCCCUGUCACGGCGGAGGUCGCGGGUUCGAGUCCCGUCAGCCCCGCCA